This is a long non-coding RNA of Mizuhopecten yessoensis (Yesso scallop), 2283 nucleotides long. RefSeq lists it as uncharacterized. The record is from RefSeq and is a predicted model, not a curated record. The transcript is spliced from 2 exons. NCBI's taxonomy places the organism in Eukaryota, Metazoa, Mollusca, Bivalvia, Pectinida, Pectinidae.
UAAAAACAACAUGAUACAGUUUUAUGCUGAUGGAGUAGUGGACUGGUCGUCCAUUACAUUUAUUUACAUUCAUAAAAAGACAACCAGCCUCACGCUCGCUACACUAGCGGUACUACAUACAUAACUAAAAUAGACUGGGUUAGUAGGUCAAGGCCGGGGUCAAGCACAUCCUCCGAUCUGAAACCUCCCGCACAACAUCAGCCCUAAUGACAACACUCAUAUCUGGCCUUGGGUCAGCUUACACAGACACACCCUCCUGUGAUACAAGGUCAUGACCUCACACCACAAACAUGUACAAUAAACUCUAUGUCCUGUGAUACGCUGUCAUGACGUCACAUCACAAAGGGAGAUGUAUGACAAACUUGUCUGUGAUAUGUCAUCACACAAAUUGAUCAGUGUUAAAUGAUUAAAUAUAAUUCUAUCUUCGUUGAAAGUUAUCCAACAAAACCAUUUUCUGUGUAUAGCCACCAAGUUUAAAGAACCUAUAAAAAGAUAAAUUUAACGUUUUCUGAAAUCAAUUAGUUAAAAAUGUGGCGAUCAAUAAACACUUAGGAAAAAUUACAAUGUAAUAAAAAAACAAAAGCAUAUUACAAAUACAGGUGUACUGUCGGCUGACCAUAGAAACACGUGUACCGACGGCUGACCACAGAUACAGGUGUACCGACGGCUGACCACAGAUACAGCUGUACAGACGGCUGACCAUAGAUACAGGUGUACUGUCAGCUGACCACAGAUACAGGUGUACCGACGGCUGACCACAGAUACACGUGUACCGACGGCUGACCACAGAUACAGGUGUAUCGACGACCGAGUGACCACAGAUACAGGUGUACCGAUGACCAACCAUAGAUACAGGUGUACCGACAGCUGACCACAGAUACAGGUGUACCGACGGCUGACCACAGAUACAGGUGUAUUUGUGGCUGACCACAGAUACAGGUGUACCGAUGACCAACCAUAGAUACAGGUGUACAGACGACUGACCAUAGAUACAGUCGUAUUGACGACUAACAAAGAUACAGGUGUACAGACAACCGGCCACAGGCACAUGUGUACCAAUGGCUGGCCACCGGUACAAGCGUACCGACGUCGACCAUAGGCUCUCAUGCACACCACACUCAUAAUAUUACUACCUGGAACUCCCUUGGCCAGUAAUGGUAACACACCCAAAGGUAUGAUACAUGUAAUUGUGACUUACAGAAAUAAAAACAAUUUCAUGCUUUUGUAAUUCUCCACUUUAAAUACCAUAUCACAUUGAAGGAACUUGUAGCGGUUCCAUUUCAAAAUAGCCAUACCCCAUGGAAGGCACCUUAGUUUGAGGGCACCACCGAGAGACUUCAAUUCACAAUACAAUAAUGCAGCUUUUGCUUUAUCACACAAUUUACUGAAGUUUCUUUCUAAUGGUUUCAUUAUUUUUUUCAAACUACCUUACCCUCCAAUAUUGUUUUACACUUCAUUAAUCUUCUGAUCGUCAAUCAAGUGCGUUUAAAUUAAUUCACAUAACAGUAUUAGAUUCGGGGAAAACAGAGGAAGUAUCAACAGCUUCGAAAAAAAUGUAUAGAACUUUGUGUGUUGAUCAGAAGCAUUUACACCUAAGUACUGUCUGGAGACAAUUUUGAGACAGGUAUUCUAAUAUUCCCCUCUAUUGAACUUAACAAGACUACCUUCAAAAAUAAUAAUUUGAACAGGAAGUUUCCAUAUGAAAUAUAGCCUAAACACUAAUUAAGUUAAGAUUUGUCUGAUGAAAUUAGAAAAUUUUAUUAUUUAGUUUACCGCCUGUUUUACACGAAUGUCUCACAAAUAUUUGGAUAUUGAGAUGUUUCCCUUCGACUACAACACAAACGAUAGCGUCCUACUCAAUCUCAAUACCAGACUAACAAGUGCUCAAUUCUGCUCCAGUUACAUUCUCAACAAUAUGCCAAACAGACUUUUUCUUUUACACCAAUCGCUAAUAAAAAGCAACGACAAUUUCAUUGUUGUGGUCCUCCACUUUCCAACUUAACCCUUUCACCCCUAGGUAACUUUAGUAGACUCUACCAUGCAUUUAUGGGGAUGAGUCCAUUAUGGUCUGCGGCGGUGAAAGGGUUUAAGCCAAGGACUAGAAAACUAGACUUUAUAUUACUUUUUAAUCACCUAAAUAUGCGGUAUGGCCACAUCAACUUGACAAUCCACCAUAUCUAGACUACAGCAGUCAUAUAUAAUCUCAGACAUGCAUAAAUCAAACUUUUUCUUUUCAAAACACCAUCCAGUCUUUGCCGUUACGUCUUGGUGAGUCGGUAAAGA